RNAcentral lists this ribosomal RNA (262 nucleotides) under uncultured bacterium. Its description in RNAcentral is "partial 16S ribosomal RNA". It matches the Rfam family "Bacterial small subunit ribosomal RNA", at positions 512 to 774 of the family's 1533-position model. The record is from RNAcentral.
GAGCCGCGGUAAUACGUAGGGGGCAAGCGUUGUCCGGAAUUAUUGGGCGUAAAGCGCGCGCAGGCGGUCAUGUAAGUCUGGUGUUUAAGCCCAGGGCUCAACCCUGGUACGCAUCGGAAACUGUGUGACUUGAGUGCAGAAGAGGAAAGUGGAAUUCCACGUGUAGCGGUGAAAUGCGUAGAGAUGUGGAGGAACACCAGUGGCGAAGGCGACUUUCUGGACUGUAACUGACGCUGAGGCGCGAAAGCGUGGGGAUCAAACA